RNAcentral lists this ribosomal RNA (903 nucleotides) under uncultured archaeon. Its description in RNAcentral is "bacterial SSU rRNA". It matches the Rfam family "Archaeal small subunit ribosomal RNA", at positions 21 to 903 of the family's 1478-position model. The record is from RNAcentral.
CCUUACUGCUAUCGGGGUGGGACUAAGACAUGCGAGUCGAGCGUCUCUAGCUAUGCUGAGACGCGGCAGACGGCUCAGUAACACGUGGCUAACCUACCCUCAGGACGAGGAUAAACCCGGGAAACUGGGGCUAAUACUCGAUAGGUGAGAAUGUCUGGAAUGAUUUCUCAUUCAAAGGGCUUUAGAAACAUGCUUCUAAAGUCGCCUGGGGAUGGGGCCGCGUCCGAUCAGGUUGUUGGUGAGGUAACGGCUCACCAAGCCUAUAACCGGUACGGGCCGUGAGAGCGGUAGCCCGGAGAUGGGUACUGAGACAAGGACCCAGGCCCUACGGGGCGCAGCAGUCGCGAAAACUCCGCAAUGCACGAAAGUGUGACGGGGCUACCCCGAGUGCCAUCCGCUGAGGAUGGCUUUUCUUUGGUGUAACUAGCCGGGGGAAUAAGGAGAGGGCAAGACUGGUGUCAGCCGCCGCGGUAAUACCAGCUCUCCGAGUGGUAGGGAUGAUUAUUGGGCUUAAAGCGUCCGUAGCCGGCUUAGCAAGUCUCCUGUUAAAUUCAGCGACCUAAUCGUUGAGCCGCGGGAGAUACUACUAGGCUAGGAGGCGGGAGAGGUCGACGGUACUUCUGGGGUAGGGGUGAAAUCCUAUAAUCCCGGGAGGACCACCAGUGGCGAAGGCUGUUGACUAGAACGCGCUCGACGGUGAGGGACGAAAGCUGGGGGAGCGAACCGGAUUAGAUACCCGGGUAGUCCCAGCCGUAAACGAUGCGGGCUAGGUGUUGGGGUGGCUACGUGCCACUUCAGUGCCGCAGGGAAGCCAUUAAGCCCGCCGCCUGGGGAGUACGGCCGCAAGGCUGAAACUUAAAGGAAUUGGCGGGGGAGCACCACAAGGCGUGAAGCUUGCGGUUC